AAUCAACGCUGGCGGCGUGCCUCAGACAUGCAAGUCGAACGCGAAAGUUUCCUUCGGGGAACAAGUAGAGUGGCGCACGGGUGAGUAACACGUAGGUAAUCUACCUUUGGAUGGGGAAUAACAACCGGAAACGGUUGCUAAUACCGCAUAAUGCAGCGGCACCUAAUGGUGACAGUUGUUAAAGCGGGGGAGUCGAAAGACCUCGCGUCUGAAGAGGAGCCUGCGGCGGAUUAGCAGUUGGUAAGGUAAUGGCUUACCAAGGCGACGAUCCGUAACCGGCCUGAGAGGGCGGUCGGUCACACUGACACUGACAUACGGGUC
This 321-nucleotide ribosomal RNA is filed under the name uncultured bacterium. RNAcentral's name for it is "bacterial SSU rRNA". It matches the Rfam family "Bacterial small subunit ribosomal RNA", at positions 32 to 332 of the family's 1533-position model. The record is from RNAcentral.